AACGAACGCUGGCGGCAUGCCUAACACAUGCAAGUCGAACGAGACCUUCGGGUCUAUUGGCGCACGGGUGCGUAACGCGUGGGAACCUGCCCUUAGGUUCGGACUAACUCCCCGAAAGGGGUGCUAAUACCGGAUAAUGUCUUCGGACCAAAGAUUUAUCGCCUUUGGAUGGGCCCGCGUUGGAUUAGCUGGUUGGUAGGGUAAAAGCCUACCAAGGCGACGAUCCAUAGCUGGUCUGAGAGGAUGAUCAGCCACACUGGGACUGAGACACGGCCCAGACUCCUACGGGAGGCAGCAGUGGGGAAUAUUGGACAAUGGGCGAAAGCCUGAUCCAGCAAUGCCGCGUGAGUGAUGAAGGCCUUAGGGUUGUAAAGCUCUUUUACCCGGGAUGAUAAUGACAGUACCGGGAGAAUAAGCUCCGGCUAACUCCGUG
RNAcentral lists this ribosomal RNA (433 nucleotides) under uncultured bacterium. RNAcentral describes it as "partial 16S ribosomal RNA". It matches the Rfam family "Bacterial small subunit ribosomal RNA", at positions 29 to 507 of the family's 1533-position model. The record is from RNAcentral.